Hyaena hyaena (striped hyena) is the source of this 644-nucleotide long non-coding RNA. RefSeq lists it as uncharacterized. The record is from RefSeq and is a predicted model, not a curated record. Lineage: Eukaryota; Metazoa; Chordata; Mammalia; Carnivora; Hyaenidae. The transcript is spliced from 4 exons.
GGGCUGCAGGGGCGGCGGCGGCGAGCAGGGCCCUCCAGGAGCCGAUCCUGGGUAGGGCCCCCCCCCUGGAUCCCCAUCCCGUGCGCCCACGCUCGGGAAAUCUGCAGAACCACGUUGUCCGACUCCAGCGCGCAGGGCAGCAGAUCCCUCAACCUCUGACUAGGUCACGUGAACACAGCCGGGCGGGUAGCUGUGCUGUGCUGCGCACUCAGAGGCAAAUCACAAGCUUCCUACCUUGGAGACCGAUGUUGACUCACCACUCGAGAGCCUUCCAAACACCUGAUCUAUUGCUCCUUAGUCAUUUUCCUUUGGAAAGGACGAAUGCAUUGGUAGGUGUGUGUCUCUGAAAGACGGGAAGAUGGAAUUAGAUGGAUGGCAUUUCUAAUGGCUGGCCCACAGGCACUGGACAAUCAAAACUCUGUGGGGGCAGAUCUUGCAUCUCCAGAUCUAAGUGUCACCUCUACCGCCUGCUUCCCCUGCGAUCUUAGGGUUAGUCUAAGGAAUUACUACAGACUCCCCACCUCAAAGACUGGUGAGGAUGUGAACCCUUGAAAUUACAAGAUGGAUUAUUAGCAGUGUUAACAAUAGCUGCAAUUUACUGAGCCCCUACUACGUGUCAGACAAUACAUACAUUAUUUAUAUUA